AAAAGUAAAUAAAUUCUACCGGGGAACUACGAAUAAUAAUUUUAAUUUAAAACCCAAAGGGCUUGGCGGUGUUUUAGACUUCUUAGGGGAGCUUGUUUCGUAAUCGACAAUCCACGAUAGACCUAACCUUUUUUUGUAUCCAGUAUGUAUACCGUUGUCGUCAGGUAACUUUUAAAAAUAUAAAAGCUAGCAAAUAAGUUUUUAACUUGUACGUCAAAUCAAGGUGCAACCCAUAAAAAGGAGAGAAUGAGCUACAAUUAAAAGUUAUAAUACGAAUAAAACACAUAAAAAGAAUUUGAAGGAGGACUU
This 309-nucleotide ribosomal RNA is filed under the name Tatea huonensis. RNAcentral describes it as "partial 12S ribosomal RNA". Lineage: Eukaryota; Metazoa; Mollusca; Gastropoda; Littorinimorpha; Tateidae. The record is from RNAcentral.